RNAcentral lists this long non-coding RNA (3572 nucleotides) under Mytilus galloprovincialis (Mediterranean mussel). Lineage: Eukaryota; Metazoa; Mollusca; Bivalvia; Mytilida; Mytilidae. The record is from RNAcentral.
UGGAUAUUUUGACAGCUGUAGUAUGGAUAAUACCAAGUCUGACAUGGUUGUUGUCGGUGACAUUACAUGUUCAGAAAUGAGAUGUGCUACAAGCUGUGGAAUGUCAAAGACUUGUAAUGGGUUAUAAUUUCAACAGCGCCAUGAACAGGUUUGUGUUGUCAAAAACACUUACACAUUUAUUUGUUUAGUUUGGGUUACAUAUUAUGUUUUUAAAUGACAUUUUAUUUGUUUGUUUGGUUACACAUAUUAUGUUUUUAAUGACAUUUAUUUGUUUGGUUUGGUUACACAUUAUUGACACAUAUUAUGUUUUUAAAUGACAUUUAUUUGUUUAGUUUGGUUACACAUAUUAUGUUUUAAAUGACAUUUAUUUGUUUAGUUUGGUUACACAUAUUAUGUUUUAAAUGACAUUUAUUUGUUUAGUUUGGUUACACAUAUUAUGUUUUAAAUGACAUUUAUUUGUUUAGUUUGGUUACACAUAUUAUGUUUUAUUAUGUUUUAUGACAUUUAGUUUUUUAAUUUUUUGUUUAGUUUGGUAACAAAUAUUAUGUUUUAAGCCAUUUAUUAAGUUUGGUUACAAAUAGAUCCGGAAUUUGGAAUGUAUGAAAAAUUACUAAUGUCAUACUAGUCGUUUGCUAUACGUUUGUAAAACCUUGACUUACGAUAUUUGAAGUAAGAAAACCGUUCUUUUGGUCUUUAAUAUAGAAAACAAAAGGCACACUUAAAAGAAGACAAGAAAAAAUAAAUGUUUAUUCGAUGACACAUUUAUAAAGGAUAUUAAAUAGUGUCACAGUGGUACAAAAGGUGACAAUUAGAGAUGAUUAUGAUAAGGAAAUGCAUACAGUAAGGUAUCUUGUAAGAUGUUGUGUAAUCAAUAAUUUAUAAAUGUUUUACUAUAUAAGUCGGACGAGCAUUUGUUAAUGAAACAAAUAAGCUAAAAAUAUAUAUUCCUAGGGCAUGGAGCCCCUCUCUAGAUAUUUGAUUUUUAAAAUAUGCAAGAAAAGGCUGACUCGGACUUUUACUUAUAUUUGUAUUGGUACUAUUUUGGGUCUCAAAUCAAAAGAAAAAAAAAUCUUAAAUCUAAUAUCAGCUUUAAUUUUGGUUAAUGAACUUAGAUGAGCUAUUAAGUCUUAUAUGAAACGAUAAAUGGGUGUUAUGGGGAAAUAUUGUAUUGUAUGGAAAAAAUACCAAGGAGUCCAAAGUACAUAUAUACAGUAAAUUUGUUACUGAAAAUAUUGUUAACGAGGCUCAUUUUAGUUUUUUGUGCAUUGAAAACACCUCAUUUUGUGUUGAAUAAGGUGACUACAUUCGUAUAGUUUUGAUUUUUUGUUUGCAUGAUUGUUUGUUUUUAACUUGAUUAAGAUUUUAACACAAUGUUGACCUCUAAAUAAAAAAAUAAGCUACAAAUAUUGAUAAGGCAUGGAGCUCCUUUUCAAGACAUUUUAUUGUUAAAAUAUGACAGGAAAAAAGUUGACUCGGAGUUUUACCUUAUAUUUGUUUUUGGUAAUAUUUUGGUCUCAAAUCAAAAGAAAAGAAAUUUAGAAUCAGCGUUAAUUUUGGUUAAUGAACUCAUAUGAGCUAUUAAUUCUUAUAUGAACGGAUAAAUGGGUGUUAUUUGGCAAAAUAUUUCACCUUGUAUUUAUUGUUGGAAAAAAAAGGAGACCAAAAAUGUGACACAAAUUCCCAAGUACAUAUAUGCAGUAAAUUUGUUACUGAAAAUAUUGUUUACAAAGCUCAUAACAAGUUUUCUGUGUAUUCAAAGCACCCUAUUUAGGUAUUCGUUAAGGCGACUGCAUGCGUAUAAUUUUAUUUUCUUUGGUGGCAUAAUUAUUUGUUUUAUGGUGAUUUAAGAUUAUAUCACAUGUUGACCUCUAAAUAGUUUUUUUGACAUUAAUACCUUUUAUGUCUGUGCUCACACAUUGUUGUUAAAAUAAUUGAAUUAUAUGCGACUAUCAUACAAGUGAGAGUUUUACAACUUUAAAACCAGAUAUUUAAUCUACUAUGUGAUACAUAUGUUACUACCUAAGUCAGGAAUAUCAUAGUUGUUUUCCAUUCGUAUGAAGUGUUUGAGUUUUUAAUUUACCAUUUGAUAAAGACUUCCCGUUUUGAAUCUUUCUUGCUUUUAGUUUACUUGUUAUCAAAAUCAAAGUAUAAAAGCAGUCAUUUUAUACAUUUUAGAUGUGAACUACUCUGGUUUGGAUCAGACGUUGUGACAGACAUACCACAUCACAUUGAAGCCGGAUGGAGAUUCUACAGUAAAUGUUUCAAUGGGAAAAUUGCCUGUCUUGGGUGUUUUUUUUAAAUGACUUAUUGAAAGAAAACGGUCCUUGAUAAGGAUAUCAUUUGAUUUUUUUUUUUAAAUUCUUUGCAUAAACUUAGUGAAUUAUUAUUUGGAAUUUAAAGACAGUUGUAAAUUAGCGAUGAUCGAAUAUAGUGAAUCUUUUUAGAAAAAAAAACAACAACAAAAUUAAUUUUACAUGCAACUUCACAAAUCGAGAUCGAGUGGUUAGAUAGGGUAAGCGGCUCCAGGUACUUAUUUUCCUUAAAUCCUUGCUGCAAAAGAUUUUGCGUGAAGGGCAUAACCCUUUCAGUGAAACCAACAUAAUGUAAAUAUGUAUGCUCAUAUAUCGAUUUACAAUUGAGAUACGUCAAUAUCACACGGUGGAGUGUUUCUGCUAAGGAAUGAGAGUUAACAGUGGGUAAGGUGAAAUUAUAACAAUGUCAAAGCUCUAUUUUGAAGUAUUACUUCUGUGUCAAUAUUAAGAAAAAAGAUCCAAACAUUCUUAUAUAAGUAGUAAUAUUAGUUUUAACUUCACUUAGAUCUAUGAGAUCCUAUAACAAAAUGUAUUGUCGGUAAUUGAGUGACAGGAUAUAAUCAAUAUAUCGGUAAGUGAUAUGUAAAAAAAGUUGAACAUUGUUCUUUUGCUAUAUAUUAAAGACUCCUCUUGAACUGAGUUUUACUGUGCGUAUUGUUGUGCGUUUGUUUUUUCUAUAUUGGCUAGAUGUAUAGGGGAGGGUUGAGAUCUCAAAAACAUGUUUAACCCCGCCUCAAUUUUGCGCCUGUCCCAAAUCAGGAGCUUCUGACCUUGUAUGAUUUUUAAUUUUAGGUUUUUGUGUAUAAUUCGGAGUUUAGUAUGACGUCCAUUAUCACUGAACUAGUAUACAUAUUUGUUUAGGAGCCAGCUGAAGGACCCCUCCGGGUGCGGGAGUUUCUAUUUACAUUGUAUAUCCAUUGGAUGCCUUCGGCUGUUGUCUGUUCUAUGGUAGGGUUGUUGUCACUUUAACACAUUCCCCAUUUCCAUUCUCAAUUUUAAGUUUUAGUACAAAACAUAUCAAAACAAGAAUAUUUAAAGAAUUUUUUCAAAUUCAAUGUGAAUUAAAAGCAUUAAAAAAAUGCUCAUUUCAAAAUUUAUCAUUUUACUGCAAUUCAUUUUGUUUAAAAAUGGUUUACAGCAGACAUUUGUAAGGCGAUAACGAUUUAACUUGUUACGUUUGAUGACAAUAAUAUUGCAGAAGUUGAAUCUUAAUUAAUUGAGGGUCCCCUUAAAAUCGUAAUUUUUCUCUCAAAAUAUGUC